CGUAGGUGCGAGCGUUGUCCGGAAUUAUUGGGCGUAAGAGCUCGUAGGCGGUUUGUCGCGUCGGUUGUGAAAGCCCGGGGCUUAACCCUGGGUCUGCAGUCGAUACGGGCAGGCUAGAGUUCGGCAGGGGAGACUGGAAUUCCUGGUGUAGCGGUGAAAUGCGCAGAUAUCAGGAGGAACACCGGUGGCGAAGGCGGGUCUCUGGGCCGAUACUGACGCUGAGGAGCGAAAGCGUGGGGAGCGAACAGGAUU
RNAcentral lists this ribosomal RNA (252 nucleotides) under uncultured bacterium. RNAcentral's name for it is "partial 16S ribosomal RNA". It matches the Rfam family "Bacterial small subunit ribosomal RNA", at positions 526 to 779 of the family's 1533-position model. The record is from RNAcentral.